RNAcentral lists this long non-coding RNA (7092 nucleotides) under Theobroma cacao (cacao). Its description in RNAcentral is "long non-coding RNA (TCAC_LNC003572)". The record is from RNAcentral. Lineage: Eukaryota; Viridiplantae; Streptophyta; Magnoliopsida; Malvales; Malvaceae.
AUGAACAUCAUGUUGACGAACGUCCUUGACGCAGCUGCUGGUGCACUGUCUUAUUACCUCUUUGGUUUUGCCUUUGCCUUUGGUUCACCUUCUAAUGGUUUCAUAGGACGCCACUUCUUUGGACUUAAAGCUUACCCUUCUCCUUCGGGUGAUUAUAGUUUCUUUCUUUAUCAAUGGGCUUUUGCUAUAGCCGCUGCCGGGAUUACCAGCGGGUCCAUAGCUGAAAGAACCCAAUUCGUGGCUUAUCUUAUGUACUCUUCCUUUUCAACCGGCUUCGUUUACCCCAUAGUUUCACAUUGGUUUUGGUCGGGUGACGGGUGGGCCAGUGCGACCCGAUCAGAAAACCUUUUGUUCGGUUCGGGUGUGAUUGACUUUGCGGGUUCGGGUGUGGUUCACAUGGUUGGUGGCAUUGCUGGCUUAUGGGGUGCGUUGAUUGAGGGUCCGAGGUUUGGCAGGUUCGAUCGGGCUGGUCGCUCCGUGGCGUUACGCGGGCAUAGUGCCUCGCUAGUAGUUCUGGGGACGUUCCUUUUGUGGUUCGGGUGGUACGGGUUUAACCCGGGUUCGUUUUUGACCAUCGCGAAAGGGUAUGGUGGGGGUGGGGGUUAUUAUGGGCAAUGGAGUGCUAUAGGGAGGACAGCUGUCACGACGACAAUGGCUGGGUGCACAGCUGGCCUUACAACCUUGUUUAGUAAAAGGUUAUUAGUUAGUAAUUGGAGUGUUAUCGAUGUUUGCAAUGGUUUGCUAGGGGGCUUUGCUGCAAUUACCUCAGGGUGUUCAGUAGUAGAACCAUGGGCUGCAAUCAUAUGUGGCUUUGUGGCCGCAUGGGUUCUAAUUGGAUUCAACAUUCUUGCAUCCAAAUGGAAGUAUGACGACCCACUAGAGGCAGCCCAAUUACAUGGGGGGUGUGGCGCGUGGGGUUUACUCUUCACCGGAUUGUUUGCAACAGAGGCAUACGUCAACGAGGUGUAUCCGGGCCGGCCGGGGCGCCCGUACGGAUUGUUCAUGGGUGGUGGAGGGAAGCUGCUAGGGGCACAAAUCUUUCAAAUUUUGGUCAUAGCAGGGUGGGUCACGGCCACAAUGGGGCCACUCUUUUAUGUGCUACACAAAAUGAAGUUGUUAAGGAUUUCCGAGAAUGAUGAAACUGCUGGGAUGGACUUGACUAGGCAUGGGGGAUUUGCUUAUGCAUACCAUGAUGCGGAGGAUCUUUCCCUGACGCCAGGGUUCAUGAUGACCAAAAUUGAACCUACUAAUAGAAGUCCUUCAGGGUCAAACAACACCCUCCAAUGUAUGAAUCAAAUUUAGCGGUUCGUCCCUUGAAAUUGUAUACCUUAAUUAAUGUCUGUUAUAUACAAAGUACAUAAGAUAAUGGGUAGAAUACAUAACUUUUUCAAUUUUUGAUUAUAAUAAUAUACGAGUCUAUUAAUUUUUUCAAAAUAAAUAUUAUUUUUUAAAUAUGUAAAUAGUAUUAAUAUUUCAAUAUAAAAUAUCUAAAAUAUUUUUUUUAUUUUUUUUAUUCUUUCUUUUUCUCUCAAGCCGGUUGGUGACAUUCCCUUAUACCAGUAUUCCAUGGUUAGAUCCGAUCGGAUCUCUUUGGGCUUUCUUCAACAAUAUUGUCGUUCGUGGGUAGUUGGAUGGGAUGGAAAGAAUAUUUUUUUGAAAAAAAAAAGAGCUUAAAAUAAAAAAUUAUAAUAUAUAUAAUGAUAAUUUUUAAAAUUAAUGAGAGGUAAAAUUAUCAUAAAAAUAUUAUCAUGUCGUCAGAUUAAUAAAAAUAUUAACGAUUAACUAAUGGUAAGAUUUAUGUGGAUUAAAAAUUAAUGAACUCGUUUGUAAUUAUGAUAAAAAAAGAAAAGGGUAGACGCAUCCUUCUUCUUUGAAAAGGAAAUUAUCAUAAUCUUUGAUUAACCUGUUUUCUAGAAACCAGAUCAGUUAGGUUCCACCAACAUGUAUUAAAGUUGGAAUAUGGUUUUGUCUAGACACAUUUGCACAAUUAUAAACUGGAGACGAAUUUACUUCUGGGAAAGAGAUUGGUUUCAUGCUUUCCUUUUUGAGUUCCAGAGAAAAUACUACUGGGAACUUGGACAAGGAAAGGAACCAAAAAUGACCAUACAAAAAGAAAGCAAAGAACAUCACAAGACAGCCAAUAUUAUAGAUUUGGAUUAUGAAGUUCCUUACACAGCAAUGGCAAAAAUUUUAAGAAAAAAAGAAGUUUCUUAGACAGCCUGUCUAACUGAAAAGGAAAGAUAAAUGGAAGGCCAUCAGUCCAUUCUGUUCAUCAGAAGGAACUGUUCAUCAGGUAGAUGGCAUCCCUCCACCUGUUCUAGGAUGUAUCUUCAAUCAAAUGCACCUGAAGUGAUUACCAAACACAAGUUUUUUCCAAUUGCAGUUUGGAGACCUUCAGCUUGAGGUAACAUCUGAGAAAGCCAACAUAUGAGCUGCAAUAGGUUUAGUUUUCGGGUAAAUAUCUCAUUUACACUGUGAUUUCUCUUUUCUACAUUUAUUUAUGACAACAAAUCAUAUAAUAAUGUAUAUAACAGCUCUUAAUCUUUAAAAUAUAGAAUUCUUUCAUGGCAAAUAGCUCAGGGAAUCCAAAGCAUUCCAGAGAGUUCAUUGGAAUUUGCAAAUGACAAAGCUCUGCUUCUAGCUAAGGUGCUUAAAAAUGGAGUCUCUGAUUCCAUUGGAACUUGUUCUCUCGCAUAACCUGUGCCCAUAGUUGGAUACUAAAACUUGAACCUUUUUUGAUGCAGUCUUUAAGGGGAGCACUGCUUACACUUUUCUAUUUAUCCACAUUCUUGUCUGCUCUCACCAUUAUAGGCCUUGUCUUACUUGGAAGACAACUAAAGUCUGAGGAAAAGUGACCUUGGAGCUGUGUUGCCUCAAUUUUGCUUAAAAGUUGGCUUAGAUUAGAUUCUUCUUAGACAACUACAACCUGCAGCUUUGAUAAUCAAUAAUCAAGAACAGUAUGGAAGUAAGGCUGCUGUCCGUCUGUGACUUCAGAAAGUACAAAAAUUUUGUGAUUAUGAAAAUGUAGUUAUGUCUUUUACUUAGCAGAUCCCAACUUGUUUCAGAUUAAGGCUUAGCUGAGUUGAGCUCAGCUGUCAUCUGGUUCUCUCUUUUGGUUCUUUGGAACAAGAGAAGAUUGAUAAUUCAUCUGACUGCAAGCUUAUUCUUAUGUUUCCUUCCUUCUUUUUUUUUUUUUUUUUUUUGUUUUUCCAUGGAGAAACCAAUCAGCUGACUUCUUGUAAAUGAAUAAGACAAAUUGACACUGCUGAUGUACAAUUUAUACACUUCCAAGUUUGGGGAAAAGCUCCACCUUGAAUGACAUAAAGAGAUGAAGUGAACUGCUGGAAUCUACAUAUGAAUAGGUAUUGGUAUCUAAGCUGUCUAUGGUUUUCAGAGUUGAUAUUGAGAUGUUAGAAGUUCUGCAAAUUUAAAGAAAACCGUCUCUUUUUAAGUCUCACUCUCACAUUUCUAUGAAGGACUUUCAAGUAGAAAACAUGCUUGUCUCAGUUGAGGAUUUCACAAUUAUCAAAUGUUCUGAAAGAAAUUAGGAGAUAAUUAGGAGAUUUAAAAUAUCUCAACUCUCAAUUUGCCAUGGCUUUCUCAUAACUUAUGAUGGUUGGUAUGUGCUUUGAAAGAUUUCAUUUUAGAUAUAUAUAAGGUGAUCAGAGGAACUAUCAUGUUGUGCAUAGAAGCCUAGUGCUUUAGGAGUCAAUCUAUGUUUUCCACUCUCUUGCACUUAAGGUUGUUGCAUUCACUGGUUAAAUGGUUUAAAUCAGCCAAAACAAGGUUUGCACAAAGGGAGGCAAAUGGAUCUUUCUUGCAGGUGCCUUCAAGCUAUAGUUGACCUCUUCUCUAGUCACAGGUACACCAUCUGCUUCCAAAAGGCAAAGACGAGUGCAUCAGAGAUUGUAAAGCAGACUUUUCCCUGGCACAAGCAAGCAGUAUUGAUAGUUGACUCUGCAUAGCAUAAUUGAAUGAUUAAUUCUGCUUCCUGUUACUCAAAGCAUAUUUUGCUUACUGUGUCAAUGUUGACAGGAAAAUGACAUGCCGCGGCGACUUGGUUAUAAAGCAAUGUUUUUGACAUUACCUUCAUCUCAAUUAUUCAGAAAGUUAAGAUUCUUCAACUCAUGAAUUGUGAUGAAGUCAUUCAUAUCAAGGUAAUUGCCAAUAAUGCUCUUAUCACUCUUGGUUUUAGGUAACUUAUAUUGAAUAAUUGAAGCUUUGGUUGUCAGUUUCCUAUUGCUGGUGCAAAUCUGUUGCAUAGUCACACUCUGUGGCAACUUGUCGAUGCAUGGAAAUCUGUGGCGUGAUGCAAUCUGUUUUGAGUUAUAAAAUUUUAGAUUCUUCAGCUUGUGAAGAGGCCAUCCGACUCUAACAGUGAAGCCAAAGGACCAAAAAUGCUGUCACAAUCUGGUGAGGCAUAACCAUGGUUUUAUGCACACCUUCUUGCUUAAUUAAUUGAGGUUAUGACAUCAAUGAUCACAUAAUUAUGGUUAAGAAAACACUAAUCACAACAUUAACUUAUUGGUUUGAGACUUUUGAGGCAUGGAGUGACUGCAAGUUCACCGAGAAGCCAUGCCCUUCGCUUGCUUCUGGUGCUCACCGGGAUUAAAUUAAUCACUAAAGGUUGCAUCUAACAUAUCACUUUCACUGUUUGUGUUUUUUAUAAAUGAAUCUUUCUUCAAUUAUGGUGGCUCCCUAUGAAGAACCUUUGAUUGAAAACUUUUGUUUUCUUGAAAUGUAUGGUGAAGUGUUGCCAAAUAAAAUAUAGACUUUUAAUUGCCACAUGCAACCUCAAUGAUUUGCUGCCUCACAAAUUGAAUAAUGAUAUUAGAGGGUCAAUUACUGACAAACAAAUAGAUUAAACAUAUAUUCAUCCAAUACAAUUUUCAUACUUAAGUCAGCAGCUUAAAAAACUAAUUGAAGUACAUCUGAAAAGGGAGCAGGGAUCUUCAAAUCCAACCAAUUUUGAUGCAAUACCCUAAGAUUAAAUAAUCAUGGGAUCCAUUUUGCACUUUUGAUUAGAAGCUAGUGACUGUGGUUGGUAAUGGAUUCCUCCAAUGGCACGUGUGCUGAUGGUACAAUUGAAGGGUUUUUUUUAUUCAGAUUUGGAAUCAAAACCAGAGAUUCUUUGUAUCUUGGACAGAACUAAAUCAUCGAUGAACAACUUUGCUUUGUAUUAUAAUUGCAGUUAGGGUGCAAAAUCACUUUCACAAGCUACAUGAUCUAAAUAAUAUAAUUUAGAAAAGAAAAACCAUAAUAAAAAAUUGCCCUUUUCCACUCAAAUCUCAAUUUUUAUUAAAAUUUUUGAAUCUGCUCUGUAUUGAUUCUGCCAUAUGAAAAAAGUCCAUACUAGUAUUAAUGCAUCAGAUUGGACGAGAAUAAGGUAAUCUUUUGAGUUAAAAUAAAAUUUUAAUAUGUUUAUAUUUAUUUAUAUAGAAUAUUGGAAAUAUAACAAGGGUGUCAACGAUGUUGUCUUGGCUUUGACAAAAAAACCAAGAGUUAAAUUCUACUGCAAUUAAUUGCUUUUUUGGCCUCAGACAUAUGGUUAUCUAAUUCUACUAUACAAUACUAAAUCAACAGGGAUGGAUUUUCGCUUUUUCUCUAUUAACAAAUAGACUCUUAAUAAUUAAUAAGGAAAUACACAAGCAUUUCAUGUUUAUUACGAGGUAUUCUUAUGGAGAUUUAGAUUUCUAAUUACUCUAAUUAGGUAAGGGUUUUCUUUUUUCUUCGAGAAAAAUUAAAGGCAAGACCUAGCUUUUAAUUUUUGUUAGCCUAAUUAACUGGCUUUUAAAAUGCUUUAAUAAUAAUAAUUGGACUUUUCCAGAUAUUUUUCCUAGUUGAAUAAUAUAUUGUUUUCCUUGGUUGGACUUUUAGAUUAAUGGCCCUGAAAUUAAAAAAUGUUCACAAAACCUUUACAUUGUACAAUAUGAAUCUUAAACCAAUCAAAAUAAAUAAAUUAAGCUAACAACAUUGACUUACGAAUUUUGCAUAUAUAUAAAAAAGAAAGUUUUGACCCAAAUGGUUACAGAUAUAGCCAUCCAUCUCCAUCAUAUGCGUCAUAUAAAGUUAAUUGUAAACAAUUGUUUCCAUUGUUUAAUUAAAUAAAAGAUUAAUUAAUUUCUUAAUUAUUGGUGACAGAAACAAAGCACGCCAUUUACCCCAAAACUGAUUACUCUGGGUUAAUUAACUCCGAGCUCGGGAAUAGAGAUUAAUUAAUUCGAGUGGACCAAAUUUGCUUUUAAUCUGGAGUUCCUUUACAUGUAAUGGUAAUUAGGUACAAAAUUUAAACUUGAUUUUUCUCAUAAUAGUUAUAUAUGGUCUUAAAUCAAAAUUUUUGAACACUUGUGGUUCUGAUAUGAAUCUUUUAGAACAUUAUAACUUAAUUAUGGAUAAAAAGAAUUGCUGUCACGAGAGGGUGAGGGGAUAGCAGCUCCUCCCACUUGGGGGCGGUCUCUGUUUUCUUUACCUCUUUAUUAUUCUCUUGAAAACUGGUUGCUGAACAAAUUGGCACCACUUGAUUCUCAUUUUAUCUCGUUCACACAUACACCUGUUCAUUCUUUUAACUUCCUUUCACUGUCUAUAUAAUCCCCCCUUGGCGGCCCUCUCUCUUUCCAUCCCCUCCUCCUCUUUCAUUUUUCCACCAUGGCUUCCCUCACUUGUACAGCCUCUGACCUCGUCCCCCUCCUCUCCUCUUCCUCCUCCACCAAUGCAACCGCCCUCGCCUCCUUCCUUUGCACUCGUUUUUCCACCAUCUCCGACCAGCUCUCAGACGCCACUCACGCCAUUGACAACACUUACCUCCUCUUCUCCGCCUACCUAGUCUUCGCCAUGCAACUCGGCUUUGCCAUGCUCUGCGCUGGCUCAGUCAGAGCUAAGAACACCAUGAACAUCAUGUUGACGAACGUCCUUGACGCAGCUGCUGGUGCACUGUCUUAUUACCUCUUUGGUUUUGCCUUUGCCUUCGGUUCACCUUCUAAUGGUUUCAUAGGACGCCACUUCUUUGGACUUAAAACUUACCCUUCUCCUUCGGGUGAUUAUAGUUUCUUUCUUUAUCAAUGGGCUUUUGCUAUAGCUGCUGCCGGGAUUACC